RNAcentral lists this unclassified non-coding RNA (359 nucleotides) under plant metagenome. RNAcentral describes it as "partial contains small subunit ribosomal RNA, internal transcribed spacer 1, and 5.8S ribosomal RNA". The record is from RNAcentral.
UUUCCGUAGGUGAACCUGCGGAAGGAUCAUUAACACGUUUUUCCGAACGUUUUGACCCACCCUAUUCUCCGUGCACUUUACAACCCGGCUUCCUGACCCAACCUGCCGGUUUACUGGCUGUGUUCUGGUCGGGCGUCUUCAGGGCUCAAGGCCCCGUUGUCAGAAAGAUUGUCCGUGCGUAAUGCAUGUCUUUCAAGUAUGACUUUGCGGACCUCCUGGAGGCGUUGCCACCCGACCCAAAACCCUUGAAUCUAACUGCUCUGACUUUUAAGUUGCGUGCGAUUCAGUACCCUCGUGGUUUGCUUUGUGCCAACGAUCUGAAUCAACAACAACUCUUAACAAUGGAUAUCUUGGUUCUC